CCUACGGGAGGCUGCAGUGGGGAAUAUUGCACAAUGGGCGCAAGCCUGAUGCAGCCAGGCCGCGUGUGUGAAGAAGGCCUUCGGGUUGUAAAGCACUUUCAGCGGGGAGGAAGGCGUUAAGGUUAAUAACCUUGUCGAUUGACGUUACCCGCAGAAGAAGCACCGGCUAACUCCGUGCCAGCAGCCGCGGUAAUACGGAGGGUGCAAGCGUUAAUCGGAAUUACUGGGCGUAAAGCGCACGCAGGCGGUCUGUCAAGUCGGAUGUGAAAUCCCCGGGCUCAACCUGGGAACUGCAUUCGAAACUGGCAGGCUAGAGUCUUGUAGAGGGGGGUAGAAUUCCAGGUGUAGCGGUGAAAUGCGUAGAGAUCUGGAGGAAUACCGGUGGCGAAGGCGGCCCCCUGGACAAAGACUGACGCUCAGGUGCGAAAGCGUGGGGAGCAAACAGGAUUAGAUACCCCUGUAGUC
RNAcentral lists this ribosomal RNA (465 nucleotides) under uncultured Klebsiella sp. RNAcentral's name for it is "bacterial SSU rRNA". It matches the Rfam family "Bacterial small subunit ribosomal RNA", at positions 338 to 795 of the family's 1533-position model. Lineage: Bacteria; Pseudomonadati; Pseudomonadota; Gammaproteobacteria; Enterobacterales; Enterobacteriaceae. The record is from RNAcentral.